Molecule: ribosomal RNA, 730 nt
Filed under: Hydrogenophaga sp. SMCC G990
Lineage: Bacteria; Pseudomonadati; Pseudomonadota; Betaproteobacteria; Burkholderiales; Comamonadaceae
Description: bacterial SSU rRNA
Rfam family: Bacterial small subunit ribosomal RNA
Source: RNAcentral
UGGCUCAGAUUGAACGCUGGCGGCAUGCUUUACACAUGCAAGUCGAACGGUAACAGGCCGCAAGGUGCUGACGAGUGGCGAACGGGUGAGUAAUGCAUCGGAACGUGCCCAGUCGUGGGGGAUAACGCAGCGAAAGCUGUGCUAAUACCGCAUACGAUCUAUGGAUGAAAGCGGGGGACCGUAAGGCCUCGCGCGAUUGGAGCGGCCGAUGUCAGAUUAGGUAGUUGGUGGGGUAAAGGCCCACCAAGCCAACGAUCUGUAGCUGGUCUGAGAGGACGGACGACCAGCCACACUGGAACUGAGACACGGUCCAGACUCCUACGGGAGGCAGCAGUGGGGAAUUUUGGACAAUGGGCGCAAGCCUGAUCCAGCAAUGCCGCGUGCAGGAAGAAGGCCUUCGGGUUGUAAACUGCUUUUGUACGGAACGAAACGGUCUGGGUUAAUACCCUGGGCUAAUGACGGUACCGUAAGAAUAAGCACCGGCUAACUACGUGCCAGCAGCCGCGGUAAUACGUAGGGUGCAAGCGUUAAUCGGAAUUACUGGGCGUAAAGCGUGCGCAGGCGGUUUUGUAAGACAGUCGUGAAAUCCCCGGGCUCAACCUGGGAAUUGCGAUUGUGACUGCAAAGCUGGAGUGCGGCAGAGGGGGAUGGAAUUCCGCGUGUAGCAGUGAAAUGCGUAGAUAUGCGGAGGAACACCGAUGGCGAAGGCAAUCCCCUGGGCCUGCACUGA